GAUGAACCCAACCUGAAUCCAGAGGGCAAGAGAGCCUGUUGAGGAAGGCCAAUGGUUCUGGGCCUUGGGGCUGCAUCAGAAUCACCGGCAGAUCACUCACCCUGGGGAAAGCCAGCUGCCAUGUCCUGAGGCAACCUUGUAGAGAGGUUCAUGUAGCAAAGGACUGGGGCCUGCCAACAACCACAUGAAUGAGCUUGGAAGAAGAUUCUCACUUCAUUCCCAGUCAAGCAUUCAGAUGAGACCACAGCCUCAGCCAGCAGCUUGACUGCAACCUCACGAGAGACUUUGAGCCAGAGUCACCUGGGAAAGUUGCAUCUGAAACUCAUCCACAGAAACUAUGCUGAAUCAGAAGAAUAUAAAGAGAUCUGCCUGAAAGUAGAGGAUUUAAAUACCAAGCCAGUCUACAUAAUAAAGAGCUGAAGGUUAAGGAAAAGAGAGAGGAGAAAAAUAUACACACAUUGGGUCUUGAGAAAGUUUUGUGAUUUAGCAUAUCAGAGAUCCCAAAAUAGCUUGAAAAGCAUAGUAUGUGGUGUGAAUUGGGGCAUCUUUAAGAGUUUUCAAGAAAUGGUUACGAGGAUUGCAAGUGCUUCUUAAUUAACGUUUUGUGGAUGGACUACAUUUCUUUGAAUCUAACUUUAUUCAGAGACUGGACUAUGUGGAAAAUAGAAUUUAUUAGGGUUAUGUACGUUUAUAGGUAAAUAUUGGUACACAAAACCUUAUAA
This is a long non-coding RNA of Diceros bicornis minor, 722 nucleotides long. RefSeq lists it as uncharacterized. The record is from RefSeq and is a predicted model, not a curated record. The transcript has 3 exons. Lineage: Eukaryota; Metazoa; Chordata; Mammalia; Perissodactyla; Rhinocerotidae.